CCGUGCUAGGCGGGGCACUAGGGGUGCCUUGUACUCGAAAUCCUCUUGAUGCGGGGCCGAAUUCCCGCCCGAGGGUGAGUGUGUAUCGGGUCAGCACCGGGAUCGGUCGGCGUUGACGACCGGGUCCUGCAGCGGCGGAACACGCGUGAACCGGGUCAGAUCCGAAAGGAAGCAGCCCUAAGCGGGUCGUCCCGGGUGUUGCAGGGGUGCCCGGUUCGAGCCGACCAUUCCCGGCGGCGCCGGUACACGCCAUUCGACGGCGGGUGCACGG
This 271-nucleotide signal recognition particle RNA is filed under the name Actinomycetota bacterium. Its description in RNAcentral is "signal recognition particle sRNA large type". It matches the Rfam family "Bacterial large signal recognition particle RNA". Rfam says of the family: The signal recognition particle (SRP) is a universally conserved ribonucleoprotein involved in the co-translational targeting of proteins to membranes. Archaeal SRP consists of a 7S RNA and homologues of the eukaryotic SRP19 and SRP54 proteins. In most bacteria, the SRP consists of a 4.5S RNA and the Ffh protein (a homologue of the eukaryotic SRP54 protein). The record is from RNAcentral. Lineage: Bacteria; Bacillati; Actinomycetota.